Long non-coding RNA from Mya arenaria, 254 nucleotides. RefSeq lists it as uncharacterized. NCBI's taxonomy places the organism in Eukaryota, Metazoa, Mollusca, Bivalvia, Myida, Myidae. The record is from RefSeq and is a predicted model, not a curated record. The transcript is spliced from 3 exons.
AAACAUAUGGCGGUUUCUGGAGCUCAUAUUUUGUGUGGAUAAACCUUUUUCCUUAUCAUUUGAAAGAUGACCAAUAUUGUGUCUGGGACAAAGAUGAGGAUCCUGUGACCAACAAGAUUUGAUGGGAAAGUUGGAAAGCUUAAAAGAACAUGCUAAAAAUGAUUACGUUCCCAGAUAGUGCAGAAAGAAUGAAGCAGAAUCACCAACAGCAGCAGAACUAAAUGGGGCGAUAACGGAACAAGGUUCAUUCUGUC